UACAGAGGGUGCGAGCGUUAAUCGGAAUUACUGGGCGUAAAGCGCACGUAGGUGGCGACGUAAGUCGGGUGUGAAGGCCCCGGGCUCAACCUGGGAAUUGCAUUCGAGACUGAAUAGCUAGGGUACGGUAGAGGGAAGUGGAAUUUCCGGUGUAGCGGUGAAAUUCGUAGAUAUCAAGCGGAACACCGGUGGCGAAGGCGGCCUUCUGGACAGUGACUGACGCUGAGACACGAAAGCGUGGGGAGCAAACAGG
This 253-nucleotide ribosomal RNA is filed under the name uncultured bacterium. RNAcentral's name for it is "partial 16S ribosomal RNA". It matches the Rfam family "Bacterial small subunit ribosomal RNA", at positions 524 to 776 of the family's 1533-position model. The record is from RNAcentral.